GGCUUUAUUGUUUCCUAACUAAUAGAUUUCCCCUUCUACCCCCACCGAAUUGUAUCCGUUUGAGCCUUUAGAGCCCUUUCUGCCCAACACAGGGGUACUUUGAGCCUGAUGCCUUCUGGAUGCCCCCCACUCCCAUUUGGCUGAAGCAAACUCAAGUAUCCCUAGGAGAGCCUUGUACCAAAAACAGGGUGGUUUGGGAGUUACAGGACCUGGGUUAAAAUUCCUACAUAUACAAUCUUGGCCAACUAAGCCUCCUUGAUCCUAUUUUCCUCUUUUAUAAGAAAGGAUCAUUCAGUGGUAAACUGGUAAAUGCUUAACAAUUCACUCUCCAUUUGGCAAUUUCUGUGGUGUAAAUACUCUCAGCAUGGCCAAUUUCCAGCCACCAGUGGGUUGGGAAUAGACAUACACAGUUAGUUCUCAUGAGCUGGUAAUAGCCAGCUCCAGCAACACCUCUUGAUACUCAGGUUACAGGGUUGUUAUGAUGAUUAAAUGUGAAAUGUAUGAAAAAUAAUUACUGGUGUGCUCUAGUAGAGCAUCAGUAAAUAAAACACCUAUUGGACGAGGUGCAAAAAAAGGUAUUUAUUUUAGGCCCGCUUGGUGGACGGGUGAAGUUUAGGCCAGUUAACUGACAAAAAGAUGAUGGAGUGGGGAAGAAAAAUAGGAAAAAGAGAAUGAAACUGAGCUCCUGUCUCAAUAUGUGUACAUAGGAGGGCAUCUUCCUGAAAGAAGUCCCAUGAUUUCUGGAGCCUGGUGGGCACCCAACAGAUGGGUUAUUUACGGCAGAGUUUCUCAAUCAUGCAUCAGAAUUUUCUGGAGGGCUUGUUAAAACAGAUUGCUGGCUGCAAGCCCAGAGUUUCUGAUCCAGUAGGUAUGGGGUAGAGCUAAGAAUUUGCAUAUCUAACAAGUUCCCAGGUGAUGCCAAUGCCCUUGUUUGGGGCUCACACUUGGAGAACACCUGAGUUAUGGCAAUGGCGGCCAGAGGAGCUAGAGAUGGAGUUUUCUCUGUCUCAGCAGGUAUCUCUGGCUCUCAUUCUACAGGGUUCAGGACUCUAAUCCUCUUCUUGCCACUCUUUGCUGCUGUGCCAGAAAUGAUUGAUUACAUAUGGCAGGAAGUGAAAUGUAUGCAGUGAUCCCUGAAGUCACCCCGUCAUGCCCGACUCUGCUAGAAUCUUCUAUAAAAAAGAAAAAUCCUCUUCGUAAAUGCCUUGGAAGAUAACUGGUACACCUCUAAUGACGGCUGGCCUAUGCUCUCAAAGACAGGUGAAACCUAGUGAUGAAAUGAGGGUAAGCAUUAGUAAUCCAUUUCACCUGUAACCUGCCUUGACCAAUCAAGGCCGUUUUAAUUGUUGCCACAGAACACUCGGCAUGCCCUCCAAGUGGCAAGUAGCCUGAUAGUAAGCUGCUUGCCAGAGGUGUUUUCCAGAAACUUGUCGUCAACUGAACUGAUUAAGACAGGAUGGGACCACUGAUCCUUCAACUAGGCAUGCGCAAGUGUUCAUUUGAUGGCCUGAAAGUGUGGAGGGUUUUGCUUAGUUUGGCCUGCGCAGAAAGAUGAUGACCAUGGUUGCCGCACCUUUUCCCAAUCGCUGCUCCCCACGCUGCUGAUGUUCCUACGCUCUCUAAUUAUUUGUUCAUUAUGUCAGAUAUGCCAAGCCUCUGCCUUCUCGGGGGCAGAUUUGAGAUUUGUUCUCCAGUUUCCUCGCUUGGCUGCCUUGCCAUCUAAGCCCCCUUUGCUGCAGAGCUUUGCGUCUCCACAUUUUGGCUUGCUGUGCAAAACAAACCUGGGUUGGUGACAGGUUUGGUGAGGGAAAGUCCAGGAGGGAGGUUCACAGGGACCUUUCACCCAUGGCUCCUCGCUCCUUGCCGUACCAAGAGUCUGUGAAUGAGUUGGAGGAACUGCCUUGUCCAUGAGUUCUGGAACCAUCCCUGGCUUUCUCCGGUGACUUGCUGUGGACCUUCAGUGCUUAGUUUCGUCCUGCGGCAGAGAAAUGGUUUCUGGGUGUGCAGUUUGGAAGCGUCCUUCGUCUGCUUGAGGCUAUCCACAUUCUUUGGCUCCUGGUGUCUCCCGGCUUUACCCCAUCUACAAAGCUACCAGUGGCAGGCAGUCUCAUGUCCCAUUUGACUUCUUCUAUAGCUGAGCACUGCAGAAUUGAUGCUUUUGAACUGUGGUGUUAGAGAAGACUCUUGAGAGUCCCUUGGACUGCAAGGAGAUCCAACCAGUCCAUUCUGAAGGAGAUCAGCCCUGGGAUUUCUU
Bubalus bubalis (water buffalo) is the source of this 2254-nucleotide long non-coding RNA. RefSeq lists it as uncharacterized. The transcript is spliced from 3 exons. The record is from RefSeq and is a predicted model, not a curated record. Lineage: Eukaryota; Metazoa; Chordata; Mammalia; Artiodactyla; Bovidae.